UAAAUAAUCAACACGUUAAAGCAACUUCCUAACAAAUUAUACUUCCAUUCAACAUCACAGCAAGUUUGUAUUGUACAUAAAUUUCAAACUAUCAGGUAUAAAAAGGAAAACUAGUUUUCUCCUUUGUACAUAUAUAUAAGACAAAGUGUAAAUUUAACAUAUUACAAGACUUGAGUUAUUAACACACCUUAAAAUAACAAAAUAAGUUACCAAAUUCAAGUUACAAGAUUUUGGUCUUAAUAUUCAAGCCUCCAAAUAACAUACAUAAGUGUGACAUAUAUGUCAUGUACAAGUCCCAAAACUAUACAAAAUCAUAGCGCAUAUGCAAAUGUGAUCUCCAUAAGUGCUCACAAAAAGACUAUUUCAUAAGGCCGUCUUCAAAUUCCAUCCCGUACAUUACCUACGAUAGAAAACAACUAUCGUUAAGCAUAAAUCUUAGUGGCAUAUAAACUUUGGGGGCUUGGAGCCAUUAACUUCUCCAAUUCUCAUUUUUAGUCAUAGGUAUCUCAAAUGAAAUAUAAUUUAAAACAAGUGAACAAAUAUAUCAAAAGUAUCAAAUGUCAACCCUUGAAGUGUUUCCAAUUAUCAAUAACUAUGUUCAAGAUUCAAGAGUUGAGAAAACGUAUACUAUCAAUUCAAGAAAGCUUGUCAAAUAUUCAUUUUUCGCCCAAUAUGUACGUCAUGCCAUCACACUAAGCAAAAUCAGAUAUCAAGAUGGACCGAAACCCAAAAUCAAGUAGGGUCAAAACCCAAUAGUCAAGAGAAUCAAGAACCAUGUUAAAAAUGGCUUCCUAGUUCGUACUUAACACGGACAAGUUCCAUAAUUUAAGACGAACUACAAAUCCAAAGUCAAGAUGGCAAAAGAUCCAAAUCAAGAGGCAUGCCAAGAUGAGUGACAAAGUCACUGCCACAAGAAGGACAAAGUCCCAACAAGAAUGCAAAAUGAUCAAACAAUCCGUACGAGUGGGCGAUUUAGCAAAUAUCUUGCAAUACUUGAUAUAACACGAAUACAAUGCUAUUAAUUGAAGAUAAGAAAAAUAAAAUAUCAGGUUAUUUCAAAAUAUUCCAGCAAGUAAAAGGAAUACAAAGUUUAUACACAAACCUUGGUGUUUUACCACAAAAUAGUUCAACCACAAUUUGAGGACGUUCGAAUCGUCUACGCCCUAAACAAACCAAAUCCGUCCACUUCCUCAAACACUUCCCCUUAGCUUUUACAAUGAUAUAUAUACCUUAAAUAUAUAAUAAAAUAUCUAUAUAAGUUCAGUGAUUUAACAUGUCAAACUAAACAUGAUAUUGGUAAAAAUUACCCAAAAUGUUUGAAACAGAAAUUCUGGACAGUAUCACUGCCUCGUGUUAUGACUCAUAUUUGAAGAUUAAAAAGGACAAACUAGACUGUGUGGUCUCCUUUAUAGUUAUAGAUAUGUGUCUUAGCAUUUCAGAACAUCUUGAAUCACCCCCAUAUCAAUUUUGUACAAAAAGUUAUGCUAAACUUACUAACAGUAGUACAAGGAGGGUUUGUAAAAUAGAAAAUCUGGGCAGCACCUGCCCUGUAUUUCAUCACCUAUUUUUGGGUAAAUAAAAGACAAACCAGAUUUUUAUUACUCCAUAAAAGUUAUAGAUCUAUGAAAUAGCUUUCCAGAAAGUCCAAGAUCACUUAAAACUGAGCUCUAUACAAUAAGAUAUGAAGAAAUUACUAAUAGCUAUCUAGUGUAAAAACGAGUUUAGUAACUUACCACAAAAGAAAGGAGCAACUUGAGCUUCACCAAGAACGAAUUUUGCUGGUUGGUUUAGUGAAAACUUAUGGUAGUUUUCAUGAAGUUUUCAGGUGAUAAGAAGGAGAGAGAGUAGGGGUUUUCUUUUUUCUUGAAAUAAUGAAAAUGGGGAGUUUAUGGAAGACUAAGUCAAUUAAAUUUGUCUU
Molecule: long non-coding RNA, 1918 nt
Filed under: Nicotiana tabacum (common tobacco)
Lineage: Eukaryota; Viridiplantae; Streptophyta; Magnoliopsida; Solanales; Solanaceae
Description: long non-coding RNA (NTAB_LNC015052)
Source: RNAcentral